UACAGAGGGUGCAAGCGUUAAUCGGAAUUACUGGGCGUAAAGCGUGCGUAGUCGGCCAUUCAAGUCGGGUGUGAAAGCCCCGGGCUCAACCUGGGAAUUGCAUUCGAUACUGUGUGGCUAGAGUUCGGCAGAGGGAAGUGGAAUUUCCGGUGUAGCGGUGAAAUGCGUAGAUAUCGGAAGGAACAUCAGUGGCGAAAGCGACUUCCUGGACCAGAACUGACGAUCAGGCGCGAAAGCGUGGGGAGCAAACAGG
RNAcentral lists this ribosomal RNA (253 nucleotides) under uncultured bacterium. RNAcentral describes it as "partial 16S ribosomal RNA". It matches the Rfam family "Bacterial small subunit ribosomal RNA", at positions 524 to 776 of the family's 1533-position model. The record is from RNAcentral.